This 253-nucleotide ribosomal RNA is filed under the name uncultured bacterium. RNAcentral describes it as "partial 16S ribosomal RNA". It matches the Rfam family "Bacterial small subunit ribosomal RNA", at positions 524 to 776 of the family's 1533-position model. The record is from RNAcentral.
UACGGAGGGCGCGAGCGUUAAUCGGAAUUACUGGGCGUAAAGCGCGCGUAGGCUGUUGUGUAAGUUGGGGGUGAAAUCCCACGGCUCAACCGUGGAACAGCCCUUGAUACUGCGCGACUUGAAUCCGGGAGAGGGUGGCGGAAUUCCAGGUGUAGGAGUGAAAUCCGUAGAUAUCUGGAGGAACAUCAGUGGCGAAGGCGGCCACCUGGACCGGUAUUGACGCUGAGGCGCGAAAGCGUGGGGAUCAAACAGG